GUCUCAAAAAAACAAAAACAAAAAGAAAAAAAUUUGUAAUAAUAACAAUCAUGCCCCUAGUGGUCUAGUGGCUAGGAUUAAAAAAAAAAAAAUCUUGAAUAUUUAUUGAGCUCUUACUUUGUGCCAGGCCACGUGCUGGGUGCUUUAUUACAUUGAUUGCUUCAUUUAACACUAUUACAAGCAAAUGAGCUGCAGGGACUCUCAUUACAAUCAGUUUCCAAAUGAGGAAACUACAGAAUUAGUUAAUUGUUCAAGGUUACUCCUGAUAAAUGAGAUCAGGGGUUUGAACCACUAUGUGUCAGGCACUCUAGCCUGUGCCCUUAGCCACUCUGACUUAAUAUCGUCUAUGUGUUUCAACAGUGGAGGCUUUUGAAGAACACCAGAUUGGUUUUUAAUAACACAAAUAGAAGAUAGGAAAGAAUUAUAAAAUCCAUUUGUUGUUGGGUAUUGUGGUUCACGCCUGUAACCUUAGCACUUUGGGAGGCCCAGACAGGUGGACUGCUUGAGCUCAGGAGUUUGAGACCAGCCUGGGCAACAUGGCAAAACCCCGUCUCUACCAAAAAAUACAAAACUUAGCUGGGUGUGGUGGUGCAUGUCUGUGGUCCCAGCUACUUGGAAGGCUGAGGUGGGAGAAUGGCUUGAGCCUGGGAGGCGGAGGUUGGUUGCAGUGAGCCGAGAUCACAACACUGCACUCCAACCUAGGUGACAGAGUGACAGAGUGAGACCCCAUCUCAAAAAAAAAAAAAAUCCAUUUGUUUGUAGCUAACAUCAAUUUAGCUACCCAGCUCAAGAAGCGUCUGUCAUUAACAUCACCAAUAGUGAAGAAAGCUGAGAUCAUAUAUGCCUCCUGAUAUAAUCCACUGAGGACAAAACAUUUCGUGUAGCAUUUCUGCCCAAAGUGCAUGAUCAGAACCUAAUCAUGAGGAAACCCAAAUUGAGGGACAGUCUAUGAAAGAACUAGCCUGCAGUCUUCAAAAUGUCAAUGAUGCCAUGCGCCAUGGCAUGCAACUGUAGUCCUAACUAUUUUGGAGGCUGAAGCAGGAGGAUUGCUUCAGUCCAAGAGUUCAAGACCAGACUGAACAACACAGCAAGACCCUGUCUUAUGAAACAAAAAAAAAAGUUACCUGUAAUCCUAGCAAUUUGAGAGGCCGAGGCAAGAGGACCACUUGAGAUCAGGAGUUCCAGACCACCCUGGGCAACAUGGCAAAACCCCAUCUCUACAAAAAAAUAAAAAUAAAUAAAAAUAAAGAGUUGAUGCUGUGAAGGACAAAGAAAGGCUGAGGAACUCCUCCAGAUUUAAAGGGAUGAAAUGGAACCACCAUAAAGUGCAAUGUAUGGUCUUGAAUUGGAUCCUGGCGAGAAGGGGGUCAAAAGUGCUAUAAAGGACAUAUCCGGGGUAAUUGGUGAUAUUCUAAUAUGAACAUUAUAUUAGAUAACAAUAUUAUAACAAUAACAAACUCCUCAAAUGUGAUCAUGAUACAGUAGUGAUACAUAUCAUCAAAAUAGUGAGAUAUUUAGACAUGAAGUCAUAAACCUGGCUAUUCCGAAGGUAGUGAGUGACCUCAAUUGAUUGUUCGCAGUCAAAGAUUGAAAUCCUUAUUCUCCUCUUUUCCCCCUUUCACUACUGCACUUGACUAGUCUUAAAAAGAUAAAUAAACAUAAUAAAUAUGCUGGGCAUGGUGGCUCACACAUGUAAUCCCCACAUUUUGGGAGGCUGAGGUGGGAGGAUCACUUGAGCCCAGGAGUUCAAGAACAGCCUGGAAAACAUGGCAAAAUCCCAUCUCUACAAAAAAUACAAAAAUUAGCCAGGCAUGGUGGCACACACCUGUAGUUCCAGCUACUCAGGGGACUGAGGCAAGAGGAUCAUUUGAGCCUGGGAGGUCGAGGCUGCAGUGAGCCAAGAUCACACCACUACACUCCAGCCUGGGCCACAGAGCGAGACCCUGUCUUUAAAAUAAGUACAUAAAUAAAUAACAUAAACUUUAGAUACUUGAUUUCAAGUUUCAUAACUUUAUAACUUCAGCAUAUUGCACAGGCAAAGAAUAAUGAUGAAGAAAUAAAAUAAUUUAUAUACCAGGAGAAAUACUAAUUGAAGCAUAGAUAGAUUUUCAAUUUCCCAUGAAUUUCUUUAAUCCUGCCAGCCAUUGUCAUUUUUAGGAGAGGAUGAAAAGCUUUCUUUUUUUAAUUGUUAGAAUUUUAUUUAUUUAUUUUUACUUUUAGUAUUUAUUUAUUUAUUUAUUUAUUUUUGAGAUGGAGUUUCAGUCUUUUUUCCCAGGCUGAGUGCAAUGGCAUGAUCUCGGCUCACUGCAACCUCCACCUCCUGACUUCAAGAUUGUCCUGCCUCAGCCUCCCAAGUAGCUGGGAUUACAGGCAUGUGCCACCAUGCCCUGCUAAUUUUGUAUUUUUAGUAGAGACGGGGUUUCACCAUGUUGGCCACGCUGGUCUCAAACUCCUGAUCUCAGGUGAUCCACCCGCCUCAGCCUCCCAAAGUGCUAGGAUUAUGGGCGUGAGCCACCUUGCCUGGCCUAAUUUUUAGAAUUUUAAAAUUUUAAAUUUUUAUUUAUUUAUUUCAUAAACACAGUAAAUAACACUGUUUAGGUGUUCUUUGGUUUUUCUCAGUCAUGUGUAGCAUAUAGGUAUUGCACAUAUUUUGUUAAAUUUAUCCUUGAGUAUUUCAUUUUGUUGCUAUCAUGAAUGAUAUUUUAAUAUAUAUAUUCAUUUAUUUCAAUAGCUUUUGUGGUACAAGCAGUUUCUGGUUACACUGAUGAAUUGUAUAGUUGUAAAGUCUGAGAUUUACGUAUCACCCAAGUAGUAUACAUUGUACCCAAUAUGCAGUUUUUAAAUCCAUCAUCCCUCUUCUACAACUCCGCCUUCUGAGUUUUCAAAGUCCAUUAUAUCAAUCUGUAUGCCUUUGCAUACCCAUAGUUUAGCUCCCACUUAUAAAUGAGAAUAUGUAGUAUUUGGUUUUCCAUUCCUGAGUUACUUCACUUAGAAUAAUGGCCUCCAGCUCCAUCCAUGUUGCUGCAAAAGACAUUAUUCGGUUCUUUUUAUGACUGAGUAGUAUCCAUGGUGUAUAUAUAUCACAUUUUCUUUGUCCACUCAUGGGUUGAUGGGCACCAAUCAACCAAUUGGUUGGUUGCAUAUCUUUGCAAUUGUGAACUGUGCAGCAAUAAACAUGCAUGUGCAGGUGUCUUUUUGAUAUAAUGACUUAUUUUCCUUUGGGUAGAUACCCAGUAGUGGGAUUGCUGGAUCAAAUGGUAGAUCUUUAAGAAAUCUCCAUACUAGACAUUAAAAGAUCAGUGGUUGUCAGGAGUUGUGGGCGGGGAGGGAGGGAUGAAUAGGUGGAACACAGAGGAUUUUUCGGGCAGUGAAAAUACUCUGUGUAAUACCAUAAAGAUAGAUUACAUGUCAUUAUAAAUUUGUCCAAACCCAUAGAAUGUACAACACUGAGAGUGAACUUUAAUGUAAACCAUGGACUCUGGGUAAUUAUGAUGUGUCAAUGUAGGUUUGUCAAUUGUAACAAAUGUACAGGUGGGGGAUGUUGACAGUGGGGAGGCUGUGCAUGUGGC
RNAcentral lists this long non-coding RNA (3569 nucleotides) under Homo sapiens (human). Its description in RNAcentral is "HSALNT0193958". The stretch from base 1537 to 1644 matches the Rfam family "Y RNA". The record is from RNAcentral. Lineage: Eukaryota; Metazoa; Chordata; Mammalia; Primates; Hominidae.